Long non-coding RNA from Dromaius novaehollandiae (emu), 880 nucleotides. RefSeq lists it as uncharacterized. NCBI's taxonomy places the organism in Eukaryota, Metazoa, Chordata, Aves, Casuariiformes, Dromaiidae. The transcript is spliced from 3 exons. The record is from RefSeq and is a predicted model, not a curated record.
AGGAAGCAGGGUGAGAGCAGAGCUGGGGACCCUCCCGAAGAGGAUCUGCACUACGCCUCGGUGACUGCAAGGGGACGUCCCCAGCCCCUGAGAGAACAUGUCACAACGUACGCCAGCAUCGUGCCGCCGAGGGAGCCACCUUGCUAGCUCGCCGGGACCAUGCCGUGGCACGGGGGAGCAGCACGGCGAGGAAGGGCUGCGCCCUGUCACUCUGCAAGACCCAAAGCUCAGUGCAUGCUGGUGGCAGCUGGUUCCCAACAGCACCUGGGGCGCCGAGCUGGCUCUGCUUUGCGCUUCUUGGGUCUCUGCCCAGGUUUGCUGCAGGAAGGAAGCUCUUCUUCACCUUCACCUUGUACCUGGUGUGGGGUCUUCAGUGGGAGUGUGCACCGCUGCUAACGGUGCAGGUUUUUUCAUGCUCCAAAUGCUGAAGACCCUGGAAGCCUUCUGCGCCUGCCAGGUUGUCCUUUCAGGUGCUCCGCUUAGAGCUCAGAUGCUGCCAUGCAAGGCGGCUGCACCACAGCACGUCCUGAAGGAGACCUUUUCCACCUGGCAACCUCCUGGUGCCCCUUUGUGGGGGCCUGCAAGGAUUCCCAGCUGCUUUUCCUCUCUUCCUACCCUCUCCAUACUGGGGAUGCCAGCAAAGCCUCUGGCAGGCUGCUGCUGCUGAGGAGCUCAACCAGGAGAAGUGAAAAAGAGGGUUGAUGCCUUCAGUGUCUUGGGACCUCAACGCUUGCUUUUCUGCAUGAUGCUUUCUGAAGACCGUGUGCAUAGGACAUACAGAUUUCGUGUGUCCCCCAAUGUGCUGGCACGAAGUUGCCUCCAUGCACCUUGCAGUGCUGCAGCCGUGUGAGCACAGCUUUGAGUGUGGUGUGCAAUAAAU